RNAcentral lists this transfer RNA (65 nucleotides) under Stemonopa insignis. RNAcentral describes it as "tRNA-Leu". The record is from RNAcentral. Lineage: Eukaryota; Metazoa; Arthropoda; Malacostraca; Decapoda; Albuneidae.
UCUAAAGUGGCAGAAAAAUGCCCAAGAUUUAAGCUCUUGUUAUGAAGAAUAAUCUUCUUUUAGAA